GACGAACGCUGGCGGCGUGCUUAACACAUGCAAGUCGAACGGUGAAAGCGGAGCUUGCUCCGCUGGAUCAGUGGCGAACGGGUGAGUAACACGUGGGCAACCUGCCCCUCACUUCGGGAUAACUCCGGGAAACCGGGGCUAAUACCGGAUAUGACCUCCUUGGGCAUCCUUGGAGGUGGAAAGUUUUUCGGUGAGGGAUGGGCCCGCGGCCUAUCAGCUUGUUGGUGAGGUAGUGGCUCACCAAGGCGACGACGGGUAGCCGGCCUGAGGGGGCGACCGGCCACACUGGGAAUGAGAAACGGCCCAGACUCCGACGGGAGGCAGCAGUGGGGAAUAUUGCGCAAUGGGCGAAAGCCUGACGCAGCAACGCCGCGUGCGGGAUGACGGCCUUCGGGUUGUAAACCGCUUUCAGCAGGGAAGAAACCGCAAGGUGACGGUACCUGCAGAAGAAGCACCGGCUAACUACGUGCCAGCCGCCGCAGUAA
RNAcentral lists this ribosomal RNA (485 nucleotides) under uncultured bacterium. RNAcentral's name for it is "partial 16S ribosomal RNA". It matches the Rfam family "Bacterial small subunit ribosomal RNA", at positions 28 to 523 of the family's 1533-position model. The record is from RNAcentral.